UUCCCAUCACCAAUGCCGAGCUCCUCCUGAAGGCACUUCCCCCUCUUCUGCCCACAGGCUCAGGGUGCUGAGGGGGCUCUUUGCAGAACGACCCCUGGAGUCUGGUCCACCAGGACCCCAGGCCUCGUGUAGGACCUCCCCAAGCCGGGAGCGCACAGGCUGGUCCAGGGCAGGACCAGGCAAGUGGGAUGCACCGGGCUGUUAUUUUACAGCUCAAGCAUCACUGAGAGGGUCUGAUGACUCAGCUAGCAAUUUCUUGAGCCAACAUCACAUCACCCAUGUAGUGAGGAAAUGAGGCUAGGGGUGAUCAGGAUCAGCUGUGGGGCAGAAUGCGGUAGAAAUGCACCUCAAGCCGGCCUCUGCUGGACUCGGGAGAUCCAGGGGCCAUUUGGAACAAAGAGAAGCUUGCGAUCCAAGAGUGCCAGAAACGUGUGCGUAACCCCGCUCCCCAGUCACCAUCUGCUUGUGAUUGCGGAGUCCCCAGAAGAAUAGACGGGCGCCAUCUGGUGGCUCUCACGCACAGAGUAGCGUGACCCCGGGAACUUAAAUCACGUGGAGUAUCAGCUCCCUCCCCGGCGGCGGCGUCGCUCAGCUCCCGGAACACCAGGGGGCGCCAUUCUCGCCGAAUCCAAAAUGAAGUCGCCGCUUGGCGCGAAGCGGUGCGGUGGUCCUGCCUGUGUCGGCCUUUGAGAUCAACCCUGGCUGUUCACCUCUAUGUUAAGAACUGCCUCUUCCGGGGCGUCUGGACGGCUCAGUCCGUGAAGCGUCUACCUUCAGCUCAGGUCAGGGUUCCAGGGUCCCGGGGUCCAGUCCUGCAUCAGGCUGCUUGCUCCGUGAGGAGCCUGCUUCACCCUCUGCCGGCCACUCCCCCUGAUUGUGCUUGCUGUCUCUCUGAGAAAUAAAUAAAAUCUUAAAAAAACAAAAAUUGCCCCUUCUUCCCUGGCUCAGGAUUUCAUUCCCUUUGACUCUGUCUCCUCUCAGGAAAGCACUGGAUGUUUUAGACGGAUACCAGACCUCCCCCACGCAGGCACUCACACCACCCGCCUGCAGGCUCCAGGAACAUAGAGGAAUGUAGAAAAAAGCCGGAGAGGAGUGGAGUACCUAAGGGCCACAUCAGACAAGAAACAAUGAAUUCAAAACAUUCCUGCUUGGGGCGCCAGGGUGGCUCAGUCGGUUAAGGAACUGCCUUCGGCUCGGAUCAUGAUCCCAGGGUCCUAAGAUGGGGCUCCCUGCUCAGUGGGGAGCCUGCUUCUCCUCUG
This is a long non-coding RNA of Ailuropoda melanoleuca (giant panda), 1259 nucleotides long. RefSeq lists it as uncharacterized. The transcript has 3 exons. Lineage: Eukaryota; Metazoa; Chordata; Mammalia; Carnivora; Ursidae. The record is from RefSeq and is a predicted model, not a curated record.